Molecule: RNA transcript, 5449 nt
Organism: Salvia miltiorrhiza (redroot sage)
Lineage: Eukaryota; Viridiplantae; Streptophyta; Magnoliopsida; Lamiales; Lamiaceae
Exons: 4
Source: RefSeq, a predicted model, not a curated record
UUAUGGUCCUGAUUUUUUUUUUUAUCAGAAACGGAGUUAUUAUUUUAGCUUUAUACUUUUAUAACGUAUGAGAAAAACGCGACGAGGAUUAUUGAGCCAUUCAAUAAUUUAUUAUCCAGUUUAAUAACUGACUUAGCAAAGUCAAGUUAUUAAUAGAAAUAUUAUUUCUAUUAUUUACUUGGAAGUCGUGAUCUAAUUCCGAAUCAUAAGAACGAGUUAAAUUAGAUAUUUAAUUCGUAGAGAGUUAUAACGAAGCGUCGUUAUUUAGUAGAACCCAAUAUUAGUUUUACAAAUACUUGAUUAAUUAAUAUUAAUCAAGCUAGAUGAUUUUUUUUAUUAGUAACCUCAAUUCUAUUUACUUUACCAUCAUCAUUAUUCUUUCCACUCCCUAAUGUCUCCUACACUAUCAACAUACCAUAGCAUAAUUUAGACCUCAAGCAUGAAGCAUGUAUAUACGUUGACCACAUGAGUAACAUCAUAAGCCUCUUUCAUACAUAGCAUAAUCAAUCAAGAAGACAACCAAAUCAAUUAGCAAAAGCAAAAGCUCUUCAAUCACCAACUCCACUCCACCAACUCCACUCCACCACUACACUCCCACACCCACCUACUCCCUCCACUUAAGUCAUUUGGCUGAAACAUAUCCUCACACAACCUUUAGCCCCACUAAGAAGAGUAAAAGCCUCACUUCCCCUCCAUAUUCCCUCCAUUUUCGUCCCUCCUCCUUUCCUCCACUCUCACAACUAUUCUCCCACCAUUAUCACACUCCAUAGAAGCCCUUGAUGCCCCAAGAGAAGUAGCAAAGCAAGGGAGAGCGUGGAAAAACUAGGGCGUAAAGUUAGAGUGAAGGUUGUGCUUCGAGGGUGAGUUUUCUUUGCUUUUUCUCAACUGAAAAUGCUUUAUGGCCAUGGAUUUUUACACAUAUGUGUGCUAAAUUAUGUGAGGAUAUGUUUUAUGAUUUUGGAUGAUUAUUUUGGUAGAGUUUAUUGGGUGAAAAACCGUGCAUGAGGUAAGGCAGCGAAUCUGCCAUAAGCACACUGCUCCGACAGUGUUUUGCAAGGCGAUUCCAGCCAUCCAAAAGGUUCCCAAAAAUUCCCAAAUUAAUUGUGUAUCAUCUUUCAUAUGUUUUCUAUACUUUGGCAAAAUUUCAGAAGGUUUGAAGCUCUUAUGAUUUAUUUAUGAAUUUGUAAACAUCACUGCCCAUCUGGAAUACAUUUUUGGUAAACAAUCUUUGGGAGGCCAUAAGUAAAGUUUCAAUCGGUGAAAACCUUUGAAACUUGAAUAUGUCACUCUAGACUCCCGUAUCUUUCUUUUGACAUCGGCCUCACCAUUUUUGAAUAAGGGAAACAACCGGUAUAAAUUCUUGAAAUCUAGUUCUUAUUCCUUGUACCAUCCAGUAGAUUUUACAAACCUACGACUUUGAGGUGGCAAAUACCGACUUAAAUCUUUGAUUCUCAAGCCUAUCUUUCUACUGAAUAUUCACUGACAUGUUGGGAACUUACUUGUUCAGUUUUAGAAUUUUUGGUGAAGCCUAAAGUGGUUUUUCCGAUUUAUGUUCUGAAUCUGCCAAACUUGAACUCUUUUUGUGCACUGAACUUUAGAUAGUCAUAUCUUCUAAACCAUGAAUGUUCUUAGAGUAAAUCCAACUGGAGAGUGUUAUGAUCUCUCCCUAGUUUCCAGAUUGACCCUUGGGGUUCCCAGUGGAGUUUUGUAAAGGGAGAUAUGAAUUUUUAAAGAAAGCCCACUGACUUGGUUGUAAUCUGGAAAUCUGAAAUUUUCAGAUUUUUGCUAGUUAAAUACCCAUCUUUGAGAGGGCAUAUCUUGCUCGUUUGAAUUGUUUUUCAUUCGAUUCAAAUUGGAGAAUGAUCCUUGAAAUGUCUAGUUUCCAGAAUGUCUUUUGGAGCCUCAUUUGGAGAUCCGAGGCAGAUUUGGUGUCUGUUGCAAAACAACCUCUUAAGAGCUCAAGUUGUUGAAUUAUUUUCUAUGUAUCAAAGUUUAUUUUAAAGGAUGUUUCAUGAAAGAUUUAGUAUAUGUGCGUAACAAGUUUGGGAAUAUUUAUUUUAAAUGAGGUCCGUUCUUUAUUUAAAUUAUGAUGGACUUUUAAUGAAUAUUUUUGGGAUUAAACUCUUAUUUCUGGAUUUAUAUAAAUUAUUUUUUUAAGGACUUAUAAAUAUGAAUUUCGUAGGCCUACUGACCUACUGUGAUCGACGGUUUGUCGAUGUCUAAUAGCUUUGAAAACUUUAUAGCAAGUCCCUACAUGAGUCUUGAGUACCCUGGUAAAAUUUCAAGCCAUUCCAACUUCGUUUGAUACUUCUUUAAAAUGCAAAACCUAAACUGCACAUAACUACCGAGAAUUUCAGAGAACAGAUGAAAGAGUCAUUUAUUUCAGUAGCUUCCUGUGUGAUCUAGCUUUCCAAAUUUUUAUGGUAUUAACCUUAUUGUGUUAGCUAGAUAUCCACCAAAGUUGAGCCCAGUUUGACAACGUUUACUAUUUUUCAAAAAUCCAAGUUUUCGAUUGUUCAAAACUGCCGAACAUGGUAGAUCGUGGUAAAAACGUCAUAUCUCUCAAACCACUUGGAGUUUUCGACUCUACGUUUUUUUAUAUGAAACUAGAUUCGAAGAUCUUUCUUUCGGUAUGAGUCUCGAGUCCAGGAGAUGUCGGAGUCAGAACAGAUUAAAUUUUGAAGUUGAGUCAGUGUAAAAAUAGAGCAUGUUUUAAUGAUGUUUUUGGACUUCGGACUUUAAAGCGAACUAUUAUCAUUUAUUUCUUUAAAGCCACUGGUUUAUUUAAUUAAUUGGCUACUCUCUUUUGAGCCUAUUAAUUAUUUGAGGUUACGCUAGUAAUGAUGUAACGAAUUAUGGAUGCUAGAACCCUAAAACACUAAAAGAUACCCUAGGCACGUAGAAUUAGACUUUGUCUUAUGACAAUUACUUCACGAACUUAUCGACUCUUCAUCAAUGAAGGUCCGGGCGACAGAAAGUGAAGCCGAAGAAGAAACGACUCCACGCCAGCUUUAAGAACAAUUGAGAAUGCCGCCUAAGAGAGGACGCCCUGCGAAAAACAAUAACAAUCGCAGAAACCGUAACGCUGUACCCGAAGAACCACAAGAUGCUCGAGGACAUAACCCAUCCCCUCCGCCUCCGACUAGGAGAGUCGAAGAACUCUUUUUAAGGCAAAAUCCACCUACGUUUGACGGAACGAGUGAACCGGCUGAAGCUGAGAUUUGGGUGCGUGCAAUGGAACGCAUUUUCAACUUUCUACGUUGUACUGAUGAGGAGCGCCUAUCUUGCGUCUCUUUCCAACUAACAGGAUCAGCUGACUUCUGGUGGGAAGCACGUCGAAAAAUUCUGACACCGGAACAAUGGGCAAUCUAUACUUGGGAAGAUUUUAAGACGGGAUUAUAUGAUAAAUAUAUCCCGAAAAGCUAUAGGAAGAAGAAAGAAGCUGAGUUCUACGAGUUAAAGCAAGGAAAGAAAUCUGUGGUUGAAUACGACAAGGAAUUCUGCAACCUGUCGAGGUUUGCUCCACAACAAGUGGACACAGAUGAGAAGAUGGCAGAAAAAUUUUGUGCCGGUCUACGGUACGAAAUUAAGAUGGCUCUAGCAAGCCACGGAGGACUCUCAUACACGGAGUCUCUGAACAGGGCACUUGACAUUGAAGCUGCAAUGCCGUCAGACAAGUCUGCCCCACCAUUGAUCUCAACGCCAAAUGAUCCACCAGUAGCCUCACAUACUCUCAAAGGGAAGCGCAAGUGGGACAACAACGAAGACAAUAUCAAUCAGACUAGUAAGAAAGUGUGGCAAGAAAAGGAACGGGCCGAACAAUUUAUUCAACCAAGGUACGAGGCACGAACUAACCUCGAGUCAACUGGGGGUAGCCAAAGUCAGAGAGGAAUUUCACCUUGCCCAAAUUGUGGUAAGAUGCAUAGGGGUAUCUGUCGAGCUGGAACUAACGGUUGUUACAAUUGUGGCCAAAAAGGUCACUACUCCACGCAAUGCCCCAACAAACAACGAGGUUCAGUAAUUGGGAACACCUGCACCCCCUUGCCAGCAAUACGUGGACACUUGCGAAAUCAGUCUCAAUCACAUCAGUGAAAAUCUUAUGGAGACACCGCAGACAAGAGAAGCUACGCGGGAACUUGAAGACAAGAUGAAGGAAAAAUACCCCGAACUGUUUUAGCAGAGAUAUGCAAAUUUCGGGACGAAAUUUUUGUUAAGAAGGGUAGUAUGUAGUAGCCCGCUCUUUUAAUUAUGAGUAAAACUAGUAAAUGCAAUUUUUAUAAAUGAAUCCAGUUUAUGGUCCUGAUUUUUUUUUUUAUCAGAAACGGAGUUAUUAUUUUAGCUUUAUACUUUUAUAACGUAUGAGAAAAACGCGACGAGGAUUAUUGAGCCAUUCAAUAAUUUAUUAUCCAGUUUAAUAACUGACUUAGCAAAGUCAAGUUAUUAAUAGAAAUAUUAUUUCUAUUAUUUACUUGGAAGUCGUGAUCUAAUUCCGAAUCAUAAGAACGAGUUAAAUUAGAUAUUUAAUUCGUAGAGAGUUAUAACGAAGCGUCGUUAUUUAGUAGAACCCAAUAUUAGUUUUACAAAUACUUGAUUAAUUAAUAUUAAUCAAGCUAGAUGAUUUUUUUUAUUAGUAACCUCAAUUCUAUUUACUUUACCAUCAUCAUUAUUCUUUCCACUCCCUAAUGUCUCCUACACUAUCAACAUACCAUAGCAUAAUUUAGACCUCAAGCAUGAAGCAUGUAUAUACGUUGACCACAUGAGUAACAUCAUAAGCCUCUUUCAUACAUAGCAUAAUCAAUCAAGAAGACAACCAAAUCAAUUAGCAAAAGCAAAAGCUCUUCAAUCACCAACUCCACUCCACCAACUCCACUCCACCACUACACUCCCACACCCACCUACUCCCUCCACUUAAGUCAUUUGGCUGAAACAUAUCCUCACACAACCUUUAGCCCCACUAAGAAGAGUAAAAGCCUCACUUCCCCUCCAUAUUCCCUCCAUUUUCGUCCCUCCUCCUUUCCUCCACUCUCACAACUAUUCUCCCACCAUUAUCACACUCCAUAGAAGCCCUUGAUGCCCCAAGAGAAGUAGCAAAGCAAGGGAGAGCGUGGAAAAACUAGGGCGUAAAGUUAGAGUGAAGGUUGUGCUUCGAGGGUCCGGGCGACAGAAAGUGAAGCCGAAGAAGAAACGACUCCACGCCAGCUUUAAGAACAAUUGAGGUUGAGCUGUGAUGGGCGAUGAAGUGUUGCUGAGUGGGAGUUUUUGUCGAACUUAAAGUAGGCUCAGAAAGGAUACAUGUCUUCAUACAUGUAUCACAGUUAUGCUUUCCGCUGUAAACACUGAUUAUUUCAGUUACGCCUUCCGUUGCAAACUCUGAUAAUGUUUUAGCCAAGCCCCUAAUGAUGCCUUUUUCCUUUUAAGGAAUAUAACGCGUAUACAAGUUCUUUGAGUA